AGGGAAUCUUCGGCAAUGGACGAAAGUCUGACCGAGCAACGCCGCGUGAGUGAGGAAGGUCUUCGGAUCGUAAAGCUCUGUUGCCAGGGAAGAACGACUCCGGGAGGGAAUGCCCGGAGGUUGACGGUACCUGAGAAGAAAGCCCCGGCUAACUACGUGCCAGCAGCCGCGGUAAUACGUAGGGGGCAAGCGUUGUCCGGAAUUAUUGGGCGUAAAGCGCGCGCAGGCGGUUCUUUAAGUCUUGUGUUUAAGCCCGGGGCUCAACCCCGGUACGCAUGGGAAACUGGAGGACUGGAGUGCAGGAGAGGAAAGUGGAAUUCCACGUGUAGCGGUGAAAUGCGUAGAGAUGUGGAGGAACACCAGUGGCGAAGGCGACUUUCUGGCCUGUAACUGACGCUGAGGCGCGAAAGCGUGGGGAGCGAAC
Molecule: ribosomal RNA, 424 nt
Filed under: uncultured bacterium
Lineage: Bacteria
Description: bacterial SSU rRNA
Rfam family: Bacterial small subunit ribosomal RNA
Source: RNAcentral